Long non-coding RNA from Macadamia integrifolia, 1903 nucleotides. RefSeq lists it as uncharacterized. Lineage: Eukaryota; Viridiplantae; Streptophyta; Magnoliopsida; Proteales; Proteaceae. The record is from RefSeq and is a predicted model, not a curated record. The transcript is spliced from 2 exons.
UCUCCCCCCCUAUCUCUCUCUCUCUCACUCUCUCUCAUCUCAAUCUCUCCCAACCUUAGAAACCAUUACUUGACCUCUCAAUCUCUGGCUCAAGCUCUCUCCAGCGACCUGAAACGCUGAAGAAACCAUUGUGCGAUUAGGCUGGUUACAUUAGAUUCCACACCAUCUCGGCAAUCUUAUAUUGGCGAUUUCUGAUAUCUUCACAAUAUAUGUGAGUUCCUCUUUUUAAUAUCUUUCCACUAAAGAAAGUAGCUAUAAGCUUUGUUCUUGCAGUAGUUCUUGACAUUUACUUUGCUUGUCCCCUGAACGAUAAUUACUUACUCUAUUUGAAAGUUGAAACUAAAAUAAUCGAACAUAUUAUACCACAUUACCUUGUUCAAUGGGAUUUGAAGGGAUUCUUAAGCUGAUCUUUAGAGAAUUGAGUCACCAUCCAAGGACUAGCAUUCGAUUGAAGUUUGAAGUUAACUUAAAGUUUUGAUCUGCUGCAAUUAAUGUUCCUUUAAAUCUGCCAAUUUUGGUUUCAGGUUUGAGGAUUGUCUUAUUAUUUUAAAUCUGGCCAUCUGAUUUACUCCAAAUUUUGGGUGUUGAUUGAUCUUACUGAGAGCUAAACUUGAUCCAAGUUUGGCCACAAUCCAAUCCUUGGAUUGCAACUAAUUGCAGAUUUACUAUCCAGAAAUUUUAUUUGUCUAAUUAUUUCUAAUCUGGUCAAUAGAUUAAGAUCAUAUUAAUGAAAUUUCUCUUUCAUAACAAGUAUAAACUUUCUGUUCUGAAAAAUGGGGCUGCUGUAGUCGACCAUCCAAUCCUGCAUCAAGAGCACUACAUAAGUGAGUUUAUCCAGUUUCUGAAAAAUGGGGUUACAACACAAACAUGAUCUUCCUUUCCAUUGCCUUUGGAAUAAUGAAAAUCCAUAAAACAAAAAGGGGAAACAUUUGAGUGAGAGGACAAGAGGAAAACCCUUCCAUAUCUUCCUCUGCAUCUUUUUUGUUCUGCCUUCAUAAACAUAUAAUGUGUAGCUUCCUUUGUGACCCAUUUGAUGGUUGUCAAGAAGUAACUUUGUCAAAAGAUUAUAACCUGUUGACUGAAUAUAACUAUAUAAACUCUAAAUACAAUCUACUCUCUAAAAUUUCUUCCUGCAUGUUCUCACCAAAUGGUUAAGAGGAACGAUUCUCAGUUGACAAGAUCUCAGGUGACCUAUAAUAUGAUAACCUCAGUUUCCUGACCUUGAGUUUGGGCAUCUCAAUGGACCCAGUUAAAGGGGUAAUAUGCGGCAUUGCUUGCCUGCCCUUCUUAUUGGGAGAUUUGGUAUUUUUUGGUAUGACUCGACCAGUUAAUUAGGCUUUAGUACAUGGUCAUAAUAACCUAUGAAAUCAGUUAAAAGGUUUUAGAGAGUUUAGUUCUACUGCAACCUAGACACCAAGAAAUACAGACAACCUAUAGACCAUGACAGAAGUUGGCACAGAGCUUAUGAAGACAGAUCCAUUCUUGAAUCUUUAAAGCAGCAUAGGCCUAACUGCCUAAGGAUCUCCAAAAACCAAAGUGAAAGCAGAUCACUCUGGUACAUAGGAUCAUUUCUUGACUUCAAUUGUAAAAAAUAGGUAUGUUUUCUAUCCAUUUAAAUUUCUUAACCAUGUUGUAGACCUUAAUCAUUUUUUUCGCUGAUCCAUCUUGUGAUUUCACUUCUUACCUAUUUGCAGGUUUUACUUGGGAGUUCUUGGUUGUUCACCUUAAGUUGCUCCAAGUAAACAAAGGAUUGUGCUUGUAGUUUGUACCUAUUUGCAGUUAUUGUUCCAUAAACUUGAAUCUCUGUUAGUUCCAGGGCUGUUGUGUCGUUGUAUAAAACUGAAUUUGUGCUGCACCAUACUGUGAUAUCCUUGUGCUAAUUGAAUGAAGUUGCCUUUGCUUA